Molecule: ribosomal RNA, 497 nt
Filed under: uncultured bacterium
Lineage: Bacteria
Description: partial 16S ribosomal RNA
Rfam family: Bacterial small subunit ribosomal RNA
Source: RNAcentral
GAUGAACGCUGGCGGCGUGCCUAAUACAUGCAAGUCGAGCGAACAGAUAAGGAGCUUGCUCCUUUGACGUUAGCGGCGGACGGGUGAGUAACACGUGGGUAACCUACCUAUAAGACUGGGAUAACUUCGGGAAACCGGAGCUAAUACCGGAUAACAUUUGGAACCGCAUGGUUCUAAAGUGAAAGAUGGUUUUGCUAUCACUUAUAGAUGGACCCGCGCCGUAUUAGCUAGUUGGUAAGGUAACGGCUUACCAAGGCGACGAUACGUAGCCGACCUGAGAGGGUGAUCGGCCAGACUGGAACUGAGAAACGGUCCAGACUCCUACGGGAGGAAGCAGUAGGGAAUCUUCCGCAAUGGGCGAGAGCCUGACGGAGCAACGCCGCGUGAGUGAUGAAGGAGUUCGGCUCGUAAAACUCUGUUAGUAGGGAAGAACAAAUGUGUAAGUAACUGUGCACGUCUUGACGGUACCUAAUCAGAAAGCCACGGCUAACUACGUG